This 562-nucleotide ribosomal RNA is filed under the name uncultured archaeon. RNAcentral describes it as "bacterial SSU rRNA". It matches the Rfam family "Archaeal small subunit ribosomal RNA", at positions 202 to 761 of the family's 1478-position model. The record is from RNAcentral.
CUCGAGGAUGAGACUGCGGCCUAUCAGGCUGUUGGUGGUGUAACGGACCACCAAACCUACGACGGGUAUGGGCAAUGAGAGUUGGAGCCCAGAGAUGGGGACUGAGACAAGGCCCCAGGCCCUACGGGGCGCAGCAGGCGCGAAAACUCCGCAAUGCGCGAAAGCGUGACGGGGGAACCCCAAGUGCCGUUGGUCUUUGAUCGACGGCUUUUAGGGAGUCUAAGAAGCUCCCGGAAUAAGGGCUGGGCAAGUCGGGUGCCAGCCGCCGCGGUAAUACCCGCAGCCCAAGUGGUGGUCGCGAUUAUUGGGCCUAAAGCGCUCGUAGCCGGGUCAGCAAGUCCCUUGUGAAAUCGGGCGGCCUAACCGUUCGGCUUGCAAGGGAUACUGUUGGUCUUGAGGCCGGGAGACGUCUGAGGUACUCCGGGGGUAGCGGUAAAAUGCUGUAAUCCUUGGGGGACCACCAGUGGCGAAGGCGUCAGACGAGAACGGACCUGACGGUGAGGGGCGAAGGCUAGGGGAGCGAACGGGAUUAGAUACCCCGGUAGUCCUAGCUGUAAAGCAU